Molecule: non-coding RNA, 319 nt
Organism: Pelobates cultripes (western spadefoot toad)
Lineage: Eukaryota; Metazoa; Chordata; Amphibia; Anura; Pelobatidae
Source: the annotation of a GenBank genome assembly
GGUAAUGAUUCUACACACCAGAACAAAUUCAAUAAACUGUAGUUGUUCUGGUGACUAUAGUGUCCCUUUAACCCUGCAGUGUAAAUAUUGCAGUUUCUAAAAAAGGUUUAAACUGACAGGACCACUGCACCCAGACCAUGUUAUGGAGAGGAAAUAUAGCCCAUGGAGCAGCACAGCUUAGUGGAAUAGGGCCUUAACAGAGCUAGGAGGCGGGCAUUCAUAGUUAGUGUGUUUGGAUUGGCUAGCUAUUUGGGGUGGGCAGGCAGAUACAUAUAGGACAGCCAUGUUAUAAUUGUCCCAUUCUAAUGCUUUCUCACAG